RNAcentral lists this long non-coding RNA (209 nucleotides) under Elaeis guineensis (African oil palm). Its description in RNAcentral is "long non-coding RNA (EGUI_LNC033973)". Lineage: Eukaryota; Viridiplantae; Streptophyta; Magnoliopsida; Arecales; Arecaceae. The record is from RNAcentral.
CUAGGGCUCUUCUGGCUUCUGACAUUGUAUGGCAUCUUUCCGAACUCUCCUAACCGUCUGGGCUUCCAUAAUACCAUCCGAACUCCUCCAAUCAUGAGCUUCUCCAUUCACCUAUCGGGCUGCUCCAAAUGCUCUCUGAACUUCACUUUCAGCCAAUUCUUCUACAGUGGUCGACUCUUCUCCGAAUCCCUUCUAGACUUCUCCCAGCC